AGUGGCAGACGGGUGAGUAACACGUGGGAACGUACCCUUUGGUUCGGGACAACUCUGGGAAACUGGAGCUAAUACCGGAUACGCCCUUUUGGGGAAAGGUUUGCUGCCGAAGGAUCGGCCCGCGUCUGAUUAGCUAGUUGGUGGGGUAACGGCCUACCAAGGCGACGAUCAGUAGCUGGUCUGAGAGGAUGAUCAGCCACACUGGGACUGAGACACGGCCCAGACUCCUACGGGAGGCAGCAGUGGGGAAUAUUGGACAAUGGGCGCAAGCCUGAUCCAGCCAUGCCGCGUGAGUGAUGAAGGCCUUAGGGUUGUAAAGCUCUUUUAUCCGGGACGAUAAUGACGGUACCGGAGGAAUAAGCCCCGGCUAACUUCGUGCCAGCAGCCGCGGUAAUACGAAGGGGGCUAGCGUUGCUCGGAAUCACUGGGCGUAAAGGGCGCGUAGGCGGCGUUUUAAGUCGGGGGUGAAAGCCUGUGGCUCAACCACAGAAUGGCCUUCGAUACUGGGACGCUUGAGUCUGGUAGAGGUUGGUGGAACUGCGAGUGUA
This 548-nucleotide ribosomal RNA is filed under the name uncultured bacterium. RNAcentral's name for it is "bacterial SSU rRNA". It matches the Rfam family "Bacterial small subunit ribosomal RNA", at positions 94 to 677 of the family's 1533-position model. The record is from RNAcentral.